GACGAACGCUGGCGGCGUGCUUAACACAUGCAAGUCGAACGGGCCUUGUCCCCUUUUUUUUUGGGGGUGGGGUUAGUGGCGAACGGGUGAGUAACACGUGAGUAACCUGCCCCUCACUUCUGGAUAACCGCUUGAAAGGGUGGCUAAUACGGGGUGUUCUGGCCUGCUCGCAUGGGUGGGUUUGGAAAGAUUCGACCGGUUUUGGUUGUUUUGGGGGGGGAUGGGCUCGCGGCCUAUCAGCUUGUUGGUGGGGUGAUGGCCUGCCAAGGCUUUGACGGGUAGCCGGCCUGAGAGGGUGGGCGGUCACACUGGGACUGAGACACGGCCCAGACUCCUACGGGAGGCAGCAGUGGGGAAUAUUGCACAAUGGGCGCAAGCCUGAUGCAGCGACGCCGCGUGAGAGAUGGAGGCCUUCGGGUUGUGAACCUCUUUCGCCAGUGAAGAAGGUCCUGCUCUUUGUGGUGGGGUUGACGGUAGCUGGGUUAAUGAAGCGCCGGCUAACUACGU
RNAcentral lists this ribosomal RNA (507 nucleotides) under uncultured bacterium. Its description in RNAcentral is "partial 16S ribosomal RNA". It matches the Rfam family "Bacterial small subunit ribosomal RNA", at positions 28 to 506 of the family's 1533-position model. The record is from RNAcentral.